RNAcentral lists this non-coding RNA (119 nucleotides) under Chromera velia. The record is from RNAcentral. Lineage: Eukaryota; Chromeraceae.
GACGGAAGGAAGGAAGCAAGGAAGAAGAAAGGAAAGAAUUGGUCGUAAUUUUGUUCGUUGCUCACCAAACCCGGCAAGGACACACGUCUCUGAAUUUCUUGUUUUUUUUUUUCUUUUUU